AGCAUCUGCAGGGUGUCUCUGGGAGGUGGAGUUGGUGAGAGCAGAGGCAGCUCAGGGGUUUGGGCUAUUCAACAGCCUUGGGAGAGGUGGGUACCAACCUGUCGAGGCCUUUCUGGGCAGCAGGGUGAGGAAGUUCCAGCCAAGCUCCUCCUUGAGUCAGAGCGGUUGGGAGCACCAUCCCUUCUGCCUUUCACACCAGUGUUAAGCAUGUAUGGUUUGCCAAGUGAGUAAAAUCAAGUGUCCUGGUGUGGGGUGGUCUCAUCUCCCUGGGUCUCUUCCUUCAUGCCCUGCUUUGCGUCACUGUGCUGGGGCUGCUUGAUGGGCAAGAUGGGACUUGGGAAGGGUCCAUCCCCUGGCUUCAUGCUGGGAGCAGAGUGAUGCUGGAGACAGAUCUGGAGGAGCACCUUGGGCAGGGCAGGGACCUGAGUGCCCGUGAUGUGAAGCCUUACAAAUCAGCAGACCCAAAAUGCCACCAGAUGGACUCCACUCACUAGCCUUUGUUGUCCUGGCACUUGUAAGAUCAUAGAACCACAGCCUGAUUUGGGUGGAAGGGAGCUUAAAGCUCAUCCAGUUCCAACCCCCUGCCACAGGCAGGGACACCUUCCACUAGAGCAGGUUGCUUCAAGCCCCUGUGUCCAACCUGGCCUUGAACACUGCCAGGGAUGGGGCAGCCACAGCUUCUCUGGGAAAAGUCUGUGCCAGCGCCUCAGCACCCUCACAGGGAAGAGCUUCUGCCUCAGAGCUCAUCUCAAUCUCCCCUCUGGCAGGUUAAAGCCAUUCCCCUUGUCCUAUCGCUGCAGUCCCUGAUGAAGAUGAUGUGAAGAAGUGCAUGGCCUCAGCUGGGGGUGCCAAGAGCUCCUGGUCCUGUAAGAGGUGCCUUUGGGAGGGGGCACCCCACCAGGCUGGGGCAGAGCCAGGUCCCUGGUGCUCAGUUACUUGGGUGCUAUCUCUUUCUAUGUUAGAUAUUUUCACAGAGAACAUCUAUUUUCGUGGCAGCCUCUCAUUUCACGGUCUGUGAUUUCUUUGUGUUGCCCUUGGCAGGCGGCUGAUGCUGGGAAGAAGAAAAGAUGUCCUGAAACUCACCCCUUGUGUUUCGUUAUGUAUUAAAAGGCAAUUUGCUUUGUA
Molecule: long non-coding RNA, 1125 nt
Filed under: Strigops habroptila (Kakapo)
Lineage: Eukaryota; Metazoa; Chordata; Aves; Psittaciformes; Psittacidae
Description: lncRNA (ENSSHBG00005021201.1)
Source: RNAcentral